Molecule: non-coding RNA, 126 nt
Filed under: Carlito syrichta (Philippine tarsier)
Lineage: Eukaryota; Metazoa; Chordata; Mammalia; Primates; Tarsiidae
Source: RNAcentral
GUGUUGUGUUAAAGGAGAGAAGGUUAGCAAUUCCCUUGACAAGGAUGGAAGAGGCCAUCAGGCCUGACAACAAGUAUACAGUUAAGACAUUGCCACCCAUUUUGUGGCUUCUAACCAUCAUUUAAA